Molecule: ribosomal RNA, 253 nt
Filed under: uncultured bacterium
Lineage: Bacteria
Description: partial 16S ribosomal RNA
Rfam family: Bacterial small subunit ribosomal RNA
Source: RNAcentral
UACAGAGGUCUCAAGCGUUGUUCGGAUUCAUUGGGCGUAAAGGGUGCGUAGGCGGCGCGGUAAGUCGGGUGUGAAAUCUCGGAGCUUAACUCCGAAACUGCAUUCGAUACUGGCAGGCUUGAAUCCGGGAGAGGGAUGCGGAAUUCCAGGUGUAGCGGUGAAAUGCGUAGAUAUCUGGAGGAACACCGGUGGCGAAGGCGGCAUCCUGGACCGGCAUUGACGCUGAGGCGCGAAAGCCAGGGGAGCAAACGGG